GAGUUUGAUCCUGGCUCAGGACGAACGCUGGCGGCGUGCCUAAUACAUGCAAGUAGAACGCUGAAGGAGGAGCUUGCUUCUCUGGAUGAGUUGCGAACGGGUGAGUAACGCGUAGGUAACCUGCCUGGUAGCGGGGGAUAACUAUUGGAAACGAUAGCUAAUACCGCAUAAGAGUGGAUGUUGCAUGACAUUUGCUUAAAAGGUGCACUUGCAUCACUACCAGAUGGACCUGCGUUGUAUUAGCUAGUUGGUGGGGUAACGGCUCACCAAGGCGACGAUACAUAGCCGACCUGAGAGGGUGAUCGGCCACACUGGGACUGAGACACGGCCCAGACUCCUACGGGAGGCAGCAGUAGGGAAUCUUCGGCAAUGGACGGAAGUCUGACCGAGCAACGCCGCGUGAGUGAAGAAGGUUUUCGGAUCGUAAAGCUCUGUUGUAAGAGAAGAAUGAGUGUGAGAGUGGAAAGUUCACACUGUGACGGUAUCUUACCAGAAAGGGACGGCUAACUACGUGCCAGCAGCCGCGGUAAUACGUAGGUCCCGAGCGUUGUCCGGAUUUAUUGGGCGUAAAGCGAGCGCAGGCGGUUAGAUAAGUCUGAAGUUAAAGGCUGUGGCUUAACCAUAGUAGGCUUUGGAAACUGUUUAACUUGAGUGCAAGAGGGGAGAGUGGAAUUCCAUGUGUAGCGGUGAAAUGCGUAGAUAUAUGGAGGAACACCGGUGGCGAAAGCGGCUCUCUGGCUUGUAACUGACGCUGAGGCUCGAAAGCGUGGGGAGCAAACAGGAUUAGAUACCCUGGUAGUCCACGCUGUAAACGAUGAGUGCUAGGUGUUAGACCCUUUCCGGGGUUUAGUGCCGUAGCUAACGCAUUAAGCACUCCGCCUGGGGAGUACGACCGCAAGGUUGAAACUCAAAGGAAUUGACGGGGGCCCGCACAAGCGGUGGAGCAUGAGGUUUAAUUCGAAGCAACGCGAAGAACCUUACCAGGUCUUGACAUCCCUCUGACCGCUCUAGAGAUAGAGCUUUCCUUCGGGACAGAGGUGACAGGUGGUGCAUGGUUGUCGUCAGCUCGUGUCGUGAGAUGUUGGGUUAAGUCCCGCAACGAGCGCAACCCCUAUUGUUAGUUGCCAUCAUUUAGUUGGGCACUCUAGCGAGACUGCCGGUAAUAAACCGGAGGAAGGUGGGGAUGACGUCAAAUCAUCAUGCCCCUUAUGACCUGGGCUACACACGUGCUACAAUGGCUGGUACAACGAGUCGCAAGCCGGUGACGGCAAGCUAAUCUCUUAAAGCCAGUCUCAGUUCGGAUUGUAGGCUGCAACUCGCCUACAUGAAGUCGGAAUCGCUAGUAAUCGCGGAUCAGCACGCCGCGGUGAAUACGUUCCCGGGCCUUGUACACACCGCCCGUCACACCACGAGAGUUUGUAACACCCGAAGUCGGUGAGGUAACCGUAAGGAGCCAGCCGCCUAAGGUGGGAUAGAUGAUUGGGGUGAAGUCGUAACAAGGUAGCCGUAUCGGAAGGCGCGGCUGGAUCACC
RNAcentral lists this ribosomal RNA (1532 nucleotides) under Streptococcus pneumoniae GA47388. RNAcentral's name for it is "bacterial SSU rRNA". It matches the Rfam family "Bacterial small subunit ribosomal RNA". The record is from RNAcentral. Lineage: Bacteria; Bacillati; Bacillota; Bacilli; Lactobacillales; Streptococcaceae.